RNAcentral lists this transfer RNA (74 nucleotides) under Alosa alosa (allis shad). RNAcentral's name for it is "tRNA-OTHER". The stretch from base 9 to 66 matches the Rfam family "tRNA", at positions 8 to 63 of the family's 71-position model. Rfam says of the family: Transfer RNA (tRNA) molecules are approximately 80 nucleotides in length. Their secondary structure includes four short double-helical elements and three loops (D, anti-codon, and T loops). The record is from RNAcentral. Lineage: Eukaryota; Metazoa; Chordata; Actinopteri; Clupeiformes; Clupeidae.
UUAUAAGUUGGCCUAAUGGAUAAUGCGCCUGACUUCGGAUCAGAAGAUUGAGGGUUCGAGUCCCUUCGUGGUCG